UUAAUAUACCUAUUGGGAAUGUUGUAAGGGCUCUUUGAUUAUUUGUCCCCAAAUAUCCUUCCAGUGGUUGGAUCUAUUCCUACAUAUUUGCUGACUUUAAAAUAAGCCAUGCAUGACGGAAAAUUCCAGGGUAGUAGAAUUUGCAAACCACAUCGGUGCCAAAGGUUGAUUUCUAAGCUUGGGGUUUCUUACGGAGCCUGGCAACGUGAAGAGAUUUGCCAACCUAGCUAGAGAGAUCUGUGAGCCUGAGUUGCCCUGUUCACUUCCCUUUCCACUCUUUUCUCUUCCUCAGGCCCAUUUUCCAUGGUGGUUCCUCAAUGCGGUUGCUUUCCUUCCUCCUCCCCUCUUCCUUCUUCCCCUUUCACUAACCCACCCCUUCUCCCUCCCUCCUUUCCUCUUCCCUCCACCUACUCCUCCCCAUCCCCCAGCCCCCCUUCUCACCACCGCUUAUAAUGGCUCACGGGGCUCCCUCUGAGGUGGACGGCCCGGACGGUUUGUGACCUCUUGACACGUGGGAGUCAGCAGAUCCGGUGCUGAGACAUCCAGGUAUUUCCAGUGAUUCUGUAACAAAUGAAGUCUGCCCUCCCUAGAGCCAACUUGUCUAUAAUCUCUUCCUAACAGCAGUGAUGUCAAGAGAAGGGAGUUUAUCUGUGUUCUUCUGCAGGUCAAUAGGAUUGAAUUUUGCACACUUCACUUCAUGAGCAGCUGAAAUGUCGGAGACAAGCAUAUAAUAAAACUACCUGGAAUAUCAGAAGGCCCCAAUAUUAUGUUCCAUUUUAUUACUCGACAAUUACCUGACGAACUAUGUCUUCAGCAUUCCAAUGUAGACUGAAGAUCGGUGGCUCUCUAGAAUUUCCCUGGAACCACAGACCAGAUUAAGAGUACUGAAACAUCUACAGAAUUGUUGAAGAAUCUGGACCACAGCCUGAAGAAUGCUGUUGUUCUUGAUCCUGGGAUGGCUGCUGUGGUUAUUUGUCUAUCAUUUUUCUAUUUCAUACGCAUGUGUAUGUGCACAUGUUCAUACAUGGCAUAUGUGUGUGCACGUGUCAGCAGUUGAUAUAGAAAGUCGGUCUUUGAACCCACACACCUAUGGGCACUUGAUUUUUGACAAAGGAGCCAAAACCAUCAAAUGGAAAAAACAUAGCAUUUUGAGCAAAUGGUACUGGUUCAACUGGAGGUCAACAUGUAGAAGAAUGCAGAUCGAUCCAUGCUUAUCACCCUGUACAAAGCUUAAGUCCAAGUGGAUCAAGGACCUCCACAUCAAACCAGACACACUCAAACUAAUAGAAGAAAAACUAGGGAAGCAUCUGGAACACAUGGGCCCUGGAAAAAAUUUCCUGAACAAAACACCAAUGGCUUAUGCUCUAAGAUCAAGAAUCGACAAAUGGGAUCUCAUAAAACUGCAAAGCUUCUGUAAGGCAAAGGACACUGUGGUUAGGACAAAAUGGCAACCAACAGAUUGGGAAAAGAUCUUUACCAAUCUUACAACAGAUAGAGGCCUUAUAUCCAAAAUAUACAAAGAACUCAAGAAGUUAGACCGCAGGGAGACAAAUAACCCUAUUAAAAAAUGGGGUUCAGAGCUAAACAAAGAAUUUACAGCUGAGGAAUGCCGAAUGGCUGAAAAACACCUAAAGAAAUGUUCAACAUCUUUAGUCAUAAGGGAAAUGCAAAUCAAAACAACCCUGAGAUUUCACCUCACACCAGUGAGAAUGGGUAAGAUCAAAAACUCAGGUGACAGCAGAUGCUGGCAAGGAUGCUGAGAAAGAGGAACACUCCUCCAUUGUUGGUGGGAUUACAAACUGGUACAACCAUUCUGGAAAUCAGUCUGGAGGUUCCUCAGAAAAUUGGACAUUGAACUGCCUGAGGAUCCAGCUAUACCUCUCUUGGGCAUAUACCCACAAGAUGCCCCAACAUAUAAAAAAGACACGUGCUCCACUAUGUUCAUCGCAGCCUUAUUUGUAAUAGCCAGAAGCUGGAAAGAACCCAGAUGCCCUUCAACAGAGGAAUGGAUACAGAAAAUGUGGUACAUCUACACAAUGGAAUAUUACUCAGCUAUCAAAAACAAUGACUUUAUGAAAUUCGUAGCCAAAUGGUCAGAACUGGAACAUAUCAUCCUGAGUGAGGUAACCCAAUCACAGAAAAACACACAUGGUAUGCACUCAUUGAUAAGUGGCUAUUAGCCCAAAUGCUUGAAUUACCCUAGAUCCCUAGAACAAAUGAAACUCAAGACAGAUGAUCAAAAUGUGAAUGCUUCACUCCUUCUUUAAAAGGGGAACAAGAAUACCCUUGGUGGGGAAUAGAGAGGCAAAGAUUAAAACAGACACAGAAGGAAACACCCAUUCAGAGCCUGCCCCACAUGUGGCCCAUACAUAUACAGCCAUCCAAUUAGACAAGAUGGAUGAAGCAAAGAAGUGCAGGCCGACAGGAGCUGGAUAUAGCUCGCUCCUGAGAGACACAGCCAGAAUACAGCAAAUACAGAGGUGAAUGCCAGCAGCAAACCACUGAACUGAGAAUAGAACCCCCGUUGAAGGAAUCAGAGAAAGAACUGGAAGAGCUUGAAGGGGCUCGAGACCCCAUAUGUACAACAAUGCCAAGCAACCAGAGCUUCCAGGGACUAAGCCACUACCUAAAGACUAUACAUGGACUGACCCUGGACUCUGACCUCAUAGGUAGCAAUGAAUAUCCUAGUAAGAGCACCAGUGGAAGGGGAAGCCCUGGGUCCUGCUAAGACUGAACCCCCAGUGA
Rattus norvegicus (Norway rat) is the source of this 2745-nucleotide non-coding RNA. NCBI's taxonomy places the organism in Eukaryota, Metazoa, Chordata, Mammalia, Rodentia, Muridae. The record is from RefSeq and is a predicted model, not a curated record.